This is a long non-coding RNA of Drosophila mojavensis, 948 nucleotides long. RefSeq lists it as uncharacterized. Lineage: Eukaryota; Metazoa; Arthropoda; Insecta; Diptera; Drosophilidae. The record is from RefSeq and is a predicted model, not a curated record. The transcript has 3 exons.
CAUAUCCCAACACAAACAUUUGCCUCUAACAUAUAUUCUAACCAAAUCAUCAUACCCUUUUAACUCAUAUAUUCAAAAUACCAUUUUACAUAUAUAUGUAUGUUACAUGUGUAUACAUCAAAACUCCACUGCGGCUCAUACCAAAUGCCUGACCAAAUGCUGCAACGCUUUGCCCAGGCAAUAAAACCCAAAAAAGGCCAAACAAAUCAGCCCAGCUUAUUCAUGUGUGUGUGAGGGUGCAUUAGAGUGUGACCUUGUGUAUGUGUGUGUGCACGCCUGAAGUGUAAGUUGCCAGCGAGCCGGCAGAAAGCAGAGCCACAACGUUGUCGGCCGGAAGCGGAAACUCGCGCGCACACACACACACACACACACACAAGAGGAGCGUACACAAAAACACACACACACACUGACGCCCACGGCAGCAAAAAAUAAAACCCUGCAAAGACUCGUGAAUUUUUCAAGCAGACUCAAGUUUCGCAAACAACAGAGGGAGAAAAAAUACAAAAAGUUAAAGCUGGUGUCAGGCUUAAUUGCAAACAAUUUCAAUGGCCUAAGUGUCUGCCACGUCCUAAGCAACUAUUGGCUAAAAUUGUCUUGACUUUCAUUUCUUAUACUGCAUGAGAAAAACUUUGUAUGAGCUAUUCAAUUACGCUUAGCAAAGCAAUGAGUGCAAUUAAGUGAAAUUAUGUAUGGUGCGAGUUAAGUGCAAAUGACUUGGAGAUAUUCCCAAGCAGACGGUGAGAAAAUUUAGUGCGCAUGAAAAUGCGGAAGAGGAGGUGCUUGAAGUGUAGAUAAAAAGAGGUGUUAAUUGGAGCAACUAGCUAGAGGAGAGAAAAAAAAAGGAGAGCGCUGGAGAAGGAGCAACUAGUUGCACUGUGAAGCUCAGCUCCAUUAAAAUGUAAGAAGACUUUGUUUUCUUUGGUAAACUUAAUUUAAACAGUAUAUAUG